CGGCCGGCGUACAGGUGCUGCAUGGCUGUCGUCAGCUCGUGGCUGUGAAGUGUUGGGUUAAGUCCCGCAACCGAGCGCAACCCCUGCUGCUGUUGCCACCACGAGAGUGGGACUCAGGCGGGACCGCCGGUGACAAACCGGAGGAAGGUGGGGACGACGUCAAGUCAUCAUGGCCCUUAUGUCCUGGGCUACACACGUGCUACAAUGGCCGGUACAGAGCGCAGCGAGGCCGCGAGGCGGAGCGAAUACGCUUAAAGCCGGUCCCAGUACGGAUUGGAGUCUGCAACCCGACUCCAUGAAGUUGGAAUCGCUAGUAAUCGCGCAUCAGCAUGGCGCGGUGAAUACGUUCCCGGGCCUU
This 358-nucleotide ribosomal RNA is filed under the name uncultured Spirochaeta sp. RNAcentral describes it as "bacterial SSU rRNA". It matches the Rfam family "Bacterial small subunit ribosomal RNA", at positions 1024 to 1382 of the family's 1533-position model. Lineage: Bacteria; Pseudomonadati; Spirochaetota; Spirochaetia; Spirochaetales; Spirochaetaceae. The record is from RNAcentral.